This is a non-coding RNA of Python bivittatus (Burmese python), 3852 nucleotides long. NCBI's taxonomy places the organism in Eukaryota, Metazoa, Chordata, Lepidosauria, Squamata, Pythonidae. The record is from RefSeq and is a predicted model, not a curated record.
GGAGUGCCCAGAUUGCGGUCGUUGAGUGAAAGAGUCAUGUGGGCAUCUCGCUUAAUAACCGCUCUACUCAACAACCAAGAUUCCGGUCCCAAUUGUGGUUGUUAGGUGAGGACCACCUGAAGUUCUUAUAUUGAUAGGCAGCUCUUUCCACUGUUCUAUGAUAAACUCUUAGCUAACCCCAUGCUUGAAAAAAUUCAGAGUUCUUGAUAAUUUAAUAGAUUCUAGAUACUACAGAUAAAACCAAGACAAACAUUCCAUCUUUAACACAUAGCAGUUGAUUCAAAGUCAGAUCAUUCAUCUUUUUAAUCUUGCAAUUUGCUUGAGAGUCAGUUUAAAUUUAUUUUUAACUUAAUAUCACAUAAUAAGGCAAAGUACAAGUAUUGAUUCUUUUCAGACACUGCAAAAAAGAGAAGCACUGAAACCAGUUAAGCCUUUACUGGAGUAGACAAAACUGGAAAUUUUGUUUAGAGAUUUGAUAUGAUUUUUUGUAAUGCAUACAUGGGCAAAUUGUUCUUAUUUGGUUUAAUAAACCAUUCAUAUAUUUGAAAGCCAUCUAGAUGUUGUCAGCUUUUCCUGAAGUAUAUGUUCCUUUUAUUAGGCUUGAUUUUAAUAUAUCAUACACCACAGUGCAAAAGGUAAUCAUCGAUGUGUUGGGUAAAACCUUAAUAAUGUUCUUUACAAAUAGCUCAAGCCACUGCUGAAUUUUAAAAUACUGUUUUACAUUGGAUGUUAUUUGGAGUUUGGGAGAAGCACCGUUAUCUCCUACAUAGUUAUACGUGCCCUUUGGUUUUGGCUUCUCUCUGAAUUGAUACACUUGGGGAGUAAGACAUUACUUCUGCAUGUAUUCUGAAAUUUAUUUAAGCUUAGGGUUUAUUUGCUUAUUUGGUUUAAUUUACCUGAUAAAGAUUUAGAGAGCAUCCCUAUCAUUGUGGACCAGAUAAUUAUUUUUAUUUUCUGAUCAAGGCAAAAGAAUAGAUUAAAUAGAUGGUGUGUAGUUAUUUUACCUUAAUUUUAAUUGUUGUGAGAUUAAAAGAGCAAAAUUAACAUCACACUUCAAAUGACCAAUCAAAGCAAUUAUAUUACCCAGACCCUGUUAAGUAUUAAUCCUUUAUUAACUACCACAAAGAUGUCCUCCUAAAUCCUAGGUUAAUAAUUUUAAUCCUGUUAGGAAAGUCAAGUCAUUCAGUUCGAUCAACUGACGUUCUGAGCAUUGGCACUUUGAUUUUGUACAGGGAAGUGAAUGCGUACUUGACAUAGAAAGUGUAUUUUGCAUUUUUUGCAUUUCUCUCUUCUUAGUUUAUCAGCGGUGCCAAGGAAAUUUGCUAUGCUUUGUGUUCCGAAGGCUAUUGGGCAGAUUUUAUUGACCCAACUUCAGGAUUAGCAUUCUUUGGCCCUUAUACAAACAACACUCUUUUUGAAACUGAUGAACGUUAUCGCCAGUUAGGAUUUCUUAUAGAAGACCUGGGCUGCUGUAAAGUUAUUCGGCAUAAUCUCUGGGGAACUCAUGUUCUAGUUGGAAGCAUAUUUACCAAUGCUACCCCUGACAGCCCUAUCAUGAAGAAACUGCGUGGCAAUUAAUAGCAUUUUCUCACUUAAAAGUUGGUUAAUAAACAUUGUUGGGAAGCAUGGAUGGAUGGAUGGAUGGAUGGAUGGAUGGAUGGAUGGAUGGAUGGAUAGAUAGAUAGAUAGAUAGAUAGAUAGAGUACGCUGAUUUAUAAAUAGUAAAUAGUAAAAGAUCUAUUAUUUAUUCUUGGUUUCAUAGUAUAUGGUUUAUAUACCAAUACAACAUUUUAUUUUUGAGAUUUGUAUAUAUAGCCUCUGAAAUCCUGAUUUACUCAUGUAAAUGAAACAUCCUUGGCAAUUUUACUUGAGAAUACAAAUCCACAGUGCUUUCACAGUACUUUGGUUAUGCAUCUUUGGUUAUAACUUUGAAGAAGAAAAAUGUGGUUGUACAAGUGUGUCAGUAAAAGAAAUAACUAUCUCAACUCUUUAUUUUACCAGAAGCAGUAUUAUAUGUUGCUUGAAUAUGAUCAAAAUAGCUCAACUUGAUUAUUUAAAAAUUGUGAUCAACUUGGAUUCUGUUGCUACUGAUGGUAAAACAUAGAGAAACAUAACACUAUUGUGUGUAAGCAUGCAAUAUUUGAAGGUGCAGUUCAUCUCUUGAAUCUACCCUGCCGUGUUGUGGCUCUCUCCUUGAAUAUAGGUAUAGGCUGAAUCCUACUAGCAAAUGUAAUCUCUUGAGGCAUUACAGUAGAACACAGAUUGCUAUUUUGUUUCUGAGUAGAUGGUACACUAAAGUUGCCCAACACGCCAGGUUACAUUGAAGAUCUCUAGUACCGUGGGCGUCUCAGGUUAACAUUCCUCAACUGGAUUUGGGUUGUAGUAUCAGAAUUGUCAGUUGAAGGUAAAACCAAUUUAGUGAACUUCUACAAAAAUCCAUGAUUACAUUGAUGGCUUGAGAUCCGUGUCUCAUGUGCAGCUUGGUUGCAGAGUGGUGUAUAAUAUCGAUCAUUUGGAUAUGUGUGAAUGUAUGCCUAUCAUUUGAUUUUUUUUUCCUAUCAUUUUGUUUACAAUAGUUGAAGAUGCUACAACUGAACAUAUGCUUCUGUUGGCUAAAGCCUGGGUUAUGGAUGCUGCAGAAUAAGGAAAAGGAAUAAAUGAUCUGAUUGGGCUGGACAUUUUAUAUUGAAAGGUAGUAUUAAAAUGUUUUAAAUACAUCAACAAACUGCAAUACCUAUGGAACAACAAGCAGCAUCCGCUUAUGGAGCAGAUCUUCUGUCUGACCUCCUGCACGCCUUCCAAGUGUGGGGCUGUGUAGGGGUAGUUUGUUUACAGGCAGAGGCAUUUCAAUAACGGAGACACACCUUUGGAUUUCUCCCUUAUCAGUGAAGAAAUCUUGUUUCUUGCGCUCUCUUGGGUAAAGAGAAGAAACAACAAGUAGGAAAAUGGAACUUGUUUCCUUGAUGUUCUUACAUGGGAAGAUUUUAAUUUUUUGUCCAGCCAUUCAAAUAGAACAAUCUUUUAUUACCUCAUUCUGCUGGGUGCCUCAACCAACCUCAAUUCCUUAGCAAGCAAUUGUAAUAAAAUCUUGUUUCAGAUGAUGCAUUUUGAUGAAUUGUUACAUUAUGAAUGGUUUGAAUAAGUUUGGCAUCUUUAAACCACAUUCUAAGGCAGGUCUGUAUUGUUACUGUAGCAUCAUGAGAAGCUAAUGCUGCUAUCUUGGGAACAGUGGUAUCGUGCAAUUCUGCCCAUUUGCCUCUAAGCUGGAAAGGCUCUACAGGAAGGAAGGGUCUGAUUUUUUUUUCCCCUUAUUUUUCUUUCUUGUGUAUGUGGAUAAAGACUUUUCUUUCUCCAGAGAAAGGAAAGGUGUGAUACCUAUCAGGUCAAUUGCUGGAAGAUGGUCAAGACAAAGCAGAUCCUUGCCUAAAUGAAUUUUCAAAGCUAUCCGUUUCAUGACAUAAACUUUUAUUUAUUUUUAUUUUAUUUUGCAAAUAUUGGCAGGCUGCUAUUUAGACACCUUCAUCAACUGUAAAUUUAGGUAUAAUUUAAAAUCUUCUGUAUGUACACCUAUUUUUAUACUGAAUAAAUAAAUGCUAGAACAAAAAACACAUGUAAAUACCUAUUAAUCCUGACAUAAUUUGUAAGUUGUAUAUUGGAAGAAAUGUAAUUGGGAGUAAUUUCAGCUCUUGCAAGAAAUAAAGUAGGGGUUCAAUAUUGUGAGCAUAACGUAGUUUAGCAGGUUCUUUCUGUAUUUUUAAUCCUGCCAGUAUGAUUGUGAUAUAUGAAAGAAAAGUGACUGAAGUAUAAAUUGUUGCUAUAUUUUUCAAGAAUAAAACUGUUACUUGUUCAGUA